RNAcentral lists this long non-coding RNA (2642 nucleotides) under Salvia miltiorrhiza (redroot sage). RNAcentral describes it as "long non-coding RNA (SMIL_LNC005754)". The record is from RNAcentral. Lineage: Eukaryota; Viridiplantae; Streptophyta; Magnoliopsida; Lamiales; Lamiaceae.
GAUUUUUGGGCUGCCCGCCCCUCCCUUCCCCAGUUUCAGAAAGAGUGAUUCAAAAGAUGUACUCGAUCUGCCUCCCACUCCACCAAUUUCUUCGUUCUACAUCCCGCCGCGAUUCGCUUCGCCGCGCCGGACACCGCCGAGAUCGACACAGUUCGCCGCCUUGCCAGGGUAAGUAUUCAAUUAGGAAAGGUAAUUAUUGACUAUGAUUAGUGCUCAAUUUUAGAAUUAUGAAAAUUUGGAAAGAUUUACCAAUCGAUCAAUAAUCUGCCAAUUUUUAGGGUUUAGAUUUAACAAUGAAAAAUUAUUAUGUUAGGAAAGAUUACAUUUCAUUGUGAUUAGUACUAAAUUUUAGAAAUAUGAAAAUGAAAAUUUGGAAAGAUUUACCUAUCGAUUAAUAAUCAGCAAAUUCUUAGGGCUUAGGUUUAACAAUGGAAACUUUAUAACCUACAUUUUAGCUAUAAAUUCAUUAGUUUGAAUGAGAAAUUUUAUUGACGCAUUGAGUUUUACAGCAACGCAUUCUACUGCCUUCUUGCUUAUUGCUCCUUUUGCUUAUUUCUCAAGGUAUGCAUUAUAUCAAUUUUAUUUUAUUACUAUUUUUUUUAACUCAAUUAUCAGAAUAUAUGUAUGAUGAACAAUUUGGCAAAUUAAACUGUAUUUGAGAUUUGAAUUUUGAAUAGUAGUAUUUGAGCUAUAAAUUAUGCCGCGAUUAUAGGCCGUCCUUGAGCCCGGAAACCAUUCGACGACACGCAGUCGUGCCAUCGGCUCGGGUCCAGCGAACUACCGCUGUGCUCCAAAACUCGGCGAGGGCCGUCGUUCAACCUUGCCUCUCCUUCCUCAAGACUCGCCACUGUCCCUGUGCCGUCGUCGGAGACUCCUCUGUCUCGAGGAUUAGGAACAAGGCAGCCACCCGGGCUCUCAUAAGUGAAAGAGAGUCUCACACAAACAAGUAAACUAAUAAUUGUUUACUGCCUAUGUGUAGUAUGUUGGGAACAAGCUUAGAAAUUGAUUGAGUUCCACAUUUAUUACUUCCGUCUAUUGAUCAUUGCUUCUAGUAGGGGUAGUUUCGGAACCCAUGGUAUUCUGAUCUGGUGUUUUUCGAAAUGAUGAGGAACUAUAUGUUUGGUUUUGGUUGAAUUUGCGGAUCUGGUAGGGGUAGUUUCGGAACCCAUGGUUGAAUUUUAUUUGUUUAUGUUAUAGCUGACUUUUCUUCCCGCACCAGCUAUGUCGAUGUAUGCUUACUGCAGAAUAUGUGGUGGUUUAUUGUUUUCUUAGUCACUUAAGUUCUGCUGCCGUUUUGCAAAUGUUUUAGAUAUGCUCUUAAUUAGAUCUGUAUGUUGUGUGUCAUACAGUUAUGUGCUAUUUCUGGCAACCAAAGACGAACCGCUUGAUUAAGAACUCGAUGUUUCAAAUUUUCUGCAUUUGGCAGCUUCUCUGGUAGUCUCAUGAUAAUAGUGUUGGAAAUAUGGUUUUAAGCCAUAUCUGAAAAUUAUUAUUUAAUUAAAUAUUUAUUAUUUAAUUAAAAUAAUUAUUGGAUGUUAAUCUACAUCUCGAGUAGAUCAACGUGAUAUACUUGAAGUCUCAAAACCGAUUUCCGAUGAGUGAGAUAUUGUAUGUCAAAGUUUGGAUGUUGAAGAGGGAAAAUCAGUUUCAACUUCUGCGUUCAACGAUUGCGGCCACCUACCGCAGCCGCCGGAGUUGACUGCCGUUCCGUUCACACCGGCCGUUCACACCGGCCAUUCACACCGGCCGUUCACACUAGGUUUAACACCUAUAAAUACGGGUAUGUUGUGAACUUCAUAACUCACAAAUAACACUCACAACUCACAACAUAUUCUGCAUUCCACCUCAACCUCUAGCUCAGUUUUCGAUCCUUAUUCAGUUCGCCGGAGCUCGUCGGAUUGUGGUGCUACAUCCGACGAGACGAAGUCGUUUUACCUUUGGGGAAGAUACGCCAAACCGAAGAGCACUACCGGAGCGAUAAUCUUCUUGCGGGAAGAGAUUCAUCUCGACUCGACUUAUUUUAUACGUAUAAUUUAUUUAUACAAUAUAUUUCAGUUGUAUACAAUUAUUUGAGUUGUAAUUUCUCAAAUUAUUUUCUUUGUAAUAUUUUCAAUUAUUUUGAGUUGUAUUAUCUCAAAAUAUUCAUUUUGUAAUAUCUCGAUCGUGUACCCGGUUCUAACAAAUAGUAAUGUUUCUACUUGGUAAGAAAAAUAGAUUAUAUUUUCACUAUCUUUUUCACAGAUUCUUGUAAAAGCCGUCCCAAUUAAGUAAGGUCACAAGUUGAAUUUGUAUGGCCAAUAACACCUGGAAUUUGUCAUUACAAUGAAGGGCCAAGCCGGGGUUCACUUGAUUGGCCAUGAAGGAGAAGGAUUUUUGUUUUAUUAUCUUGAAAAACUGGGUAGGUGUCGAGCUUCCUUUCGAUGCCCCCACUCUCCCUCACUAAUUUGUUAGUAGAUAAAAUUGUUAGUAGAUUUCUGUUCUGUGCUCACCCCCUCCUCUCUUAGCCCCAACCACUUGGACUGAAUUUUGUAUGAUAAACUGAUACUCUUAUCCUUUGAGUUUUUUUGGCUUAUGGUAGUAGAGUGAAGCUUCUCUACUUUGUAGUGGGCCAUAUAUAUUAAGUGUUGGGAUUAUUUCUGCAG